CUUAGGCGUGUGACUGCGUACCUUUUGUAUAAUGGGUCAGCGACUUAUAUUCUGUAGCAAGGUUAACCGAAUAGGGGAGCCGAAGGGAAACCGAGUCUUAACUGGGCGUUAAGUUGCAGGGUAUAGACCCGAAACCCGGUGAUCUAGCCAUGGGCAGGUUGAAGGUUGGGUAACACUAACUGGAGGACCGAACCGACUAAUGUUGAAAAAUUAGCGGAUGACUUGUGGCUGGGGGUGAAAGGCCAAUCAAACCGGGAGAUAGCUGGUUCUCCCCGAAAGCUAUUUAGGUAGCGCCUCGUGAAUUCAUCUCCGGGGGUAGAGCACUGUUUCGGCAAGGGGGUCAUCCCGACUUACCAACCCGAUGCAAACUGCGAAUACCGGAGAAUGUUAUCACGGGAGACACACGGCGGGUGCUAACGUCCGUCGUGAAGAGGGAAACAACCCAGACCGCCAGCUAAGGUCCCAAAGUCAUGGUUAAGUGGGAAACGAUGUGGGAAGGCCCAGACAGCCAGGAUGUUGGCUUAGAAGCAGCCAUCAUUUAAAGAAAGCGUAAUAGCUCACUGGUCGAGUCGGCCUGCGCGGAAGAUGUAACGGGGCUAAACCAUGCACCGAAGCUGCGGCAGCGACGCUGAUGCGUUGUUGGGUAGGGGAGCGUUCUGUAAGCCUGUGAAGGUGUGCUGUGAGGCAUGCUGGAGGUAUCAGAAGUGCGAAUGCUGACAUAAGUAACGAUAAAGCGGGUGAAAAGCCCGCUCGCCGGAAGACCAAGGGUUCCUGUCCAACGUUAAUCGGGGCAGGGUGAGUCGACCCCUAAGGCGAGGCCGAAAGGCGUAGUCGAUGGGAAACAGGUUAAUAUUCCUGUACUUGGUGUUACUGCGAAGGGGGGACGGAGAAGGCUAUGUUGGCCGGGCGACGGUUGUCCCGGUUUAAGCGUAUAGGCUGGUUUUCCAGGCAAAUCCGGAAAAUCAAGGCUGAGGCGUGAUGACGAGGCACUACGGUGCUGAAGCAACAAAUGCCCUGCUUCCAGGAAAAGCCUCUAAGCAUCAGGUAACAUCAAAUCGUACCCCAAACCGA
Molecule: ribosomal RNA, 1071 nt
Filed under: Escherichia coli
Lineage: Bacteria; Pseudomonadati; Pseudomonadota; Gammaproteobacteria; Enterobacterales; Enterobacteriaceae
Description: partial 23S ribosomal RNA
Rfam family: Bacterial large subunit ribosomal RNA
Source: RNAcentral